RNAcentral lists this transfer RNA (69 nucleotides) under Alviniconcha hessleri. RNAcentral's name for it is "tRNA-Tyr". It matches the Rfam family "tRNA". From Rfam's summary of the family: Transfer RNA (tRNA) molecules are approximately 80 nucleotides in length. Their secondary structure includes four short double-helical elements and three loops (D, anti-codon, and T loops). Further hydrogen bonds mediate the characteristic L-shaped molecular structure. tRNAs have two regions of fundamental functional importance: the anti-codon, which is responsible for specific mRNA codon recognition, and the 3' end, to which the tRNAs corresponding amino acid is attached (by aminoacyl-tRNA synthetases). tRNAs cope with the degeneracy of the genetic code in two manners: having more than one tRNA (with a specific anti-codon) for a particular amino acid; and 'wobble' base-pairing, i.e. permitting non-standard base-pairing at the 3rd anti-codon position. Lineage: Eukaryota; Metazoa; Mollusca; Gastropoda; Provannidae. The record is from RNAcentral.
UUGUUUGAUGGCCGAGAAAUUAGGCAAUAGACUGUAGAUCUAUUUACGGAAUUAAGUUUCCUCAACAAA